AUUGAACGCUGGCGGCAUGCCUUACACAUGCAAGUCGAACGGCAGCGCGGGCUUCGGCCUGGCGGCGAGUGGGCGACGGGUGAGUAAGUCAUCGGUACGUGCCCAGCAGUUGGGGAUAGCACGACGACAGCCGGACUAAUACCGCACACGAUCAUAGGUUGAACGCGGGGGACCGAAAGGCCUCGCGCUAUUGGAGCGGCCGAUGUCGGAUUAGCUAGUUGGUUGGGUAAAGGCUUACCAAGGCGACGAUCCGUAGCUGGUCUGAGAGGACGACCAGCCACACUGGAACUGAGACACGGCCCAGACUCCUACGGGAGGCAGCAGUGGGGAAUUUUGGACAAUGGGCGCAAGCCUGAUCCAGCCAUGCCGCGUGCGGGAAGAAGGCCUUCGGGUUGUAAACCGCUUUUGUUCGGGAAGAAAACCUGUGGGCUAAUACGCCGGGGGGAUGACGGUACCGAAAGAAUAAGCACCGGCUAACUACGUG
Molecule: ribosomal RNA, 484 nt
Filed under: uncultured bacterium
Lineage: Bacteria
Description: partial 16S ribosomal RNA
Rfam family: Bacterial small subunit ribosomal RNA
Source: RNAcentral